RNAcentral lists this long non-coding RNA (1101 nucleotides) under Homo sapiens (human). RNAcentral's name for it is "HSALNT0059181". Lineage: Eukaryota; Metazoa; Chordata; Mammalia; Primates; Hominidae. The record is from RNAcentral.
GGUAGCAUUUUCCUUUGCCCCAGAGAUUUGUGGAACUUUGAACUUGAGAGACCUGAUCUAGGGUAUCUGGCAGAAGAAAUUUCUAAGCAGCAAAGCAUUCAAGAGGAAGCAAAGCAUAAAAGUUAGAAAAAUUUGCAGCCUGACAAUGUGAUAGAAAAGAAAACCCCAUUUUCCGGGGAGAAAUUCAAGCAGUCUGAAUAAAUCUGCGUAGGUAACAAUGAGCUGAAGAUUAAUCAUCAAGACAAUGGGGAAAAUAUCUCCAGGACAUGUCAGAGACCUUUACUGCAGCCCCUCCUGUCACAGACCCAGAGGCCUAGACGGGAAAAAUGAUUUUUUCCCUCCUGCUGUGUGCAGCCUUAAGACUUGGCUAAAAGAGGCCAACAUACAGCUCAGGCCAUUGCUUGAGAGGGUGCAAGUCCCAGGCCUUGGUAGUUCCCAUGUGAUGUUGGGCCUGCGAGUGCACAGAUGUCAAGAAUUGAGGUUUGGGGACCUCUGCCUAGAUUUCAGAGGAUGUAUGAAAACACCUGGAUGUCCAGGCAGAAGUUUGCUGCAGGGGCAGAGCCCUCAUGGAGAACCUCUGCUAGGGCAGUGCAGAACAGAAAUGUAGUGCUGGGGUGUCCACACAGAGUCCCCACCAGGGCAAUGUCUAGUGGAGCUGUGAGAAGAGGACCACCAGCCUCCAGACCCCAGAAUGGUAGCUCCACUGACAACUUGCACCAUGCACAUGGAAAAGCUGCAGACACUCAACACCAGCUGUGAAGGCAGCCGGGAGGGAAGCUAUAUCCUGCAAAGCCACAGAGGUGGAGCUGCCCAAGGCCAUGGGAGCCCAUCUCUUGCAUCAGUGUGACCAGGAUUUGAGGCUCACAGGCAAAGGGACUUGCCUUGUCUCAGAUGACACUUUAGACUUGGACUUUUGUAUUAAUGCUGGAAUGAGUUAAGACUUUGGGAGACUGUUGAGAAGACAUGACUGUGUUUUGAAAUGUGAGGACAUGAGAUUUGGGAGGGGCCAAGGGUGAAAUUAUAUGAUUUGGCUGGGUGCUACCCAAAUCUCAUCUUGAAUUGUAGUUCCCAUAAUCCCCAUGUGUCAUAGAAGGGACCUGG